This 957-nucleotide long non-coding RNA is filed under the name Triticum aestivum (bread wheat). Its description in RNAcentral is "long non-coding RNA (TAES_LNC022931)". The record is from RNAcentral. Lineage: Eukaryota; Viridiplantae; Streptophyta; Magnoliopsida; Poales; Poaceae.
AAAACUAGCCAUGAACACAUCAGUUCAUAAAGUGUACAUAUCAUUGAACAUAUAAUGCAACUAGCGAAAAGUAACAACACAGAACAUUUACUUUUUGAACACAAGAACAUUUAAUUUUUGUUUCUGGUGUCGCCGGCUAACUGUCAUUAUUUGUCGGCAGCAAAGUCCUUGAACUUGGCCUACACCAGUAGUAGAACUCACUAGUUCUGUUACCGAAAAUGCAAAACACACACAAAAUUCUCAAAUAAUGAAAUCUGUAACAAAUUUCCACGUUGAACUUUCCUAGUUCAGAUCAUUGAACUCUCCCAGCCGGCGAUGCUUCUCUCAGGACAGAACCCAGUGGACCCUGCACACGGAAAUCCCAGCGCGGCAAUGUUAGUACUUCCCAAGGUGUUGCAUCUGUACUCACUAUGGCAAUGUGUUUGUACUACCCAAAAACAUACGCAAGAAUACAUGGCAAGCAUUUUUCAAAAUCUGUGCUCACAGGAAUAGUGACAACACCUAAAGAGCAUGUUCUUCUCACAUCUUCCCAACUUCUCAAUUAGCAGAACAACACAUCUAUGCAUUUGAUGCACACAGAGGACUACCAUCAGCGCUCAACUUGGAUGACUGCCAGCAACCAUGGUGGACGGGCUGGUGGUGGUGCCUUACCUUUUUGUAAAUCAAAGCUCCUACGUUUAUGCUAUACUUUCAUGCAGUUCUUCACUCAAGUAAUAAUUUCAGUUUAACCUUGAAGAACCAACUUCAGUGUUCGAAUUAGUACCUUUUUCAGAGGUGCAGACGCAUCAAGAAAGAAGUUCUUGUGGAGCUUGAGGGAGCGCUGGACGUAACAUGACAGGGAGCAUAGAACUACCCUCUACCAGGAGGUUGACCUACAAAGGAGCAUCCAUUGACCACGGCGAGGCAGAGGUGCGCCGGCGAGUGAUGCAGCCUCAUUGGAAGUGGGCGGAUGCGGGG